Non-coding RNA from Oryctolagus cuniculus (rabbit), 3493 nucleotides. The record is from RefSeq and is a predicted model, not a curated record. Lineage: Eukaryota; Metazoa; Chordata; Mammalia; Lagomorpha; Leporidae.
CCUGUUGCAUCGGGACCCUGGGGCAAACCCCAUAAAAGGAGGUGGACCGCCAGGGACGUUACUUCCUAGUGUCGCUCCUGGGUUCUUUUUCCGUCGUGGACCUGUCCUAGAGGUACUGGUCCAUUUUUCCGGCCGCACCUCGUCCCUUCAUCCUGUUCUCGGACAGGCUUCCCCGGCUACAGAUGCCAAAGUACCUUCACCCGCUUCCUGUUUUUCCAGACAUGACUGAUUUUCUCUCCUGCAAGAACAACGUGCCUACACCAGACUCUCUAACUGUGGUCUACUUGUGUAACCACAGAGCAAGAUAUAGGACCAGUGAUGAGGGGACCGUGAGGAGAGGAAUCGUCUACUCUAGUCUCAGGAGGGCAGACUGGACAGUGAGAGACAGAGACAGAGAGAAAGGUCCUCAUUUUCCCGUUAGUUCACCCCUCAAGUGGCUGCUACGCCAGUGUGGCCGGUGUGCUGCGCUGAUCUGAAGCCAGGAGCCAGGUGCUUCCCCCUGGUCUUCCAUGUGGGUGCAGGGCCCAAGGACCUGGGCCAUCCUCCACUGCACUCUGGGGCCACAGCAGAGAGCUGGACUGGAAGAGGAGCAACUGGGACAGAAUCCGGUGCCCCGACCAGGCCUAGAACCCGGGGUGCCAGUGCCGCAGGCAGAGGAUUAAUCCAGUGAGCUGCGGCGCUGGCCUUAUCAUAAUUAAAAAAAAAUAAAUUCAUAUAAAAUCACCAAGUUGCUUGACAUAGGAAAGGUGAUUCUGUCUUGUCACAAUAAUGAUUCUGAACAUGUUGAUAAGAAUGCUUUAUCAAAUAUGAAACAUCAGUUUUAUAUUUGAGUUAAAAAAGGGUUUUCAUUGUGGGUUGUUUGUUUUGUUGUGGUGGAGUUUCUUGAUCUCUUUGUAGAUUCUGGUUAUUAAUCCUUUAUUAGUUGCAUAACUUGCAAAUAUUUUCUCCCAUUCUGCUGGUUGCCUCUUCACUUUCCUGACUGUUUCUUUUGCUGUACAGAAACUUCUCAAUUUGAUGUAAUUCCAGUUUUUAAUUUUGGCUUUGGCUGCCUGUGCCUCUGAGAGCUUAGAGUGUUCAUCAUGGAAGGGCAUUGUAUUUUAUCAAAUGCUUUCUCUGCAUUUAUUGAGAUAAUCAUAUGGUUUUUCUUCAGCACUUUGUCAAUCGAUGAUUGAUUUGAGAAUGUUGAACCAUCUCUGCAUACCAGGGAUAAAUCCUACUUGAUCUGGGUGGAUGAUUGUUGUGGUGUAUCAUUGGAUUCUAUUGGCUAGACUUAAUAAAAGAGAAUUUUUGUGUCUAUGUUCAUCAGGGAAAUUGGUCUGUAAUUCCCUUUCUCUGCUAAAUCUUUUUCAGGUUUAGGAAUUAAGGUGAUGCUGGCUUCGUAGAAAUAAAUUGGGAGAAUUUCCUCUUUUGCAAUUGUUUUGAAUAGCUUGAAAAAAAUUGUAGUUAGUUCUUCUUUAAAUAUCUUGUGGAAUUCAGCAGUGACUCCAUCCUGUCCUGGGCUUUCUUUGUUGCGAGGGCCUUUAUUACUGAUUCAAUUUCUGUCUUGGUUAUGGGUCUGUUCAGGUUUUCUGUGUUUUCAUGGUUCAAUUUCGGUAGGCUGUGUGUGUCCAGGAAUCUGUUCUUUUCUGCUAGAUUUCCCAGUUUGUUGGCAUACAGCACUUUGUAGUAAUUUCUGAUGAUUUUUUGUAUUUCUGUGGUGUCUGUUGUUACAUUCCCUUUUUCAUCUCUAAUGUUAUUGAUUUGGGUCUUCUCUCUCUUUUGGUUAGUUGGGCCAAUGGUGUGUCAAUUUUAUCUUUUCAAAAAAUCAGCUCUUUGUUUUGCAGACUUUUGUGAUUUUUUUGGAUUCAAUUUUGUUGAUUUCUCCUCUCAUUUUAAUUAUUUCUUUUCUCUUGCUAGUUUUGGGUUUGGUUUGCUGUAGAUUUUCUAGAUUCUCUAGAUGCAUUGAUAGCUCAUUUACUUGGUUUCUUUCUAAUUUCUUGAUGUAGGCACUUAUUGCUAUAAACUUUCCUCUUACUGCUUUUGGUAAAUCCCAUAAGUUUUGAUACAUUUUGUUGUUAUCUUCAUUUGCUUCCAGAAAGUUUUUGAUUUCUUCUAUGACCCAUUGUCCAUUCAGGAGCAUGUUGUUCAGUCUCCAUGUGUUUGUAUAUGCUCUAGAGAUUUCUGGGUUUCUGAUUUCCAGCUUCAUUCUGUGCAGUCUGAGAAGAUGCAUGGUAUGAUUUUUAUUUUUUUGAAUUUGCUGAGACUUGCUUUAUGGCCUAGUAUGUGGUCAAUCCUAGAGAAAGUUCCAUGCACUGCUGAGAAGAAUGUGUAUUCUGCAACUGUAGGAUGAAAAGUUCUGUAGAUAUCUGUUAGGUCAUUCAGUCUAUAAGUGUUGAUUAAAUCUGCUGUUUCCUUGUUCAUUUUCUGUCUGGUUGAUCUGUCAGUUGCUGAAAGUGGAGUAUUGAAUUCCCCCAGUCCUAUUGUAUUGGAGUCUAAGACUUGCUUUAAAUCCUUUCACAUUUAUUUUAAAUAGCCAGGUGCCCUGUAAUUAGGUGCAUAUAUGUUUAUAAUACUUACAUCUUCCUAUUGAAUUGAUCCCUUAAUCAUUUUUUAAAGAUUUAUUUAUUUAUUUGAAAAUCCGUUACCCAUCUCAGGUGUUACAGGAGACUGGUCUUCUUGUCUCUAUGGAACUUUGAAUAAAUGGCUCAGUGAGUCAUGGUUUUACCAGUGAGGAAGAGACUAAGCAAGCUGUUUGUUUGUAGUAGUUUCUUUCCAAGUGGAAUAUCACCUUGGGGAGAGAAGACUGUAGGAGACAGGGAAGGAAAUCCAGCAAGAAACCUCAACACUUUGACAAGGAAGGACUGAGUUCUAGAGCGAGAUGGUCACAGAACUAGAGAGGAAAAGGCAGGUCAAAUGGGAACAGGAGGAAGGGGAGGCUGACUUACUAUAUCCAACAAAAGAUGAUUGGAUAUGAAAAAAAUGCAUGGGUCAGUUAUCCAGUUGUUAAGUAUCAGAAGGAGAACUAUUCCAGGCAGUAACUGUCCCUGUAGAUGCAGACACCAGAUAGGAUUUCGAGGUGAGGGAAGGGCAUUGAGCUUAAUUUCAAAUAGGGAGCAUAGUCGAGGGAAUUUAUUGCCUUCAGCAAGGUAUAUGGGUUAGUGGAUGCAGAAUUACCAAGAGGUAAUAGUGGGGAUAAGAGAAGACUGCAGAAACAGGCAGAUAAGGGGAUGAGACAUUACCUGACUAGUAAUGCAAGAUGAACUUGAUUUUGUUAGUAGAUUUUUACUAACACUGGACAAUGCAGAGAUGAAAAGAAGUCAGGCUGAGUUGAAAAUGAGGUUGGGACAGCCUAACAAGAAUGUGGCCAAUUAGAUCAUUCAAUUAGAUCAUUCUUGUUAGGCUCUAAAGGAAAGAAGAUUGGAGUAGACAUAAAAGCCAUCCAAGUUAGAUAAUCAGACAACUUCCAGGAAAUAGUAUGAAAAGCAGGUGAUUAAAUCAAUGAUUCUUAAUUUUC